Macaca fascicularis (crab-eating macaque) is the source of this 297-nucleotide unclassified non-coding RNA. It matches the Rfam family "Metazoan signal recognition particle RNA". Rfam says of the family: The signal recognition particle (SRP) is a universally conserved ribonucleoprotein. It is involved in the co-translational targeting of proteins to membranes. Lineage: Eukaryota; Metazoa; Chordata; Mammalia; Primates; Cercopithecidae. The record is from Ensembl.
ACUGGGCAUGGUGGUGUGUACUUGUAGUCCCAGCUACUUGGUAGGCUGAGGCAGGAGGGUCACUUGAGUCCAGGAGUUCUGGGUUGUGGUGUGCUAUGCUGAUUGGGUGUCUGCACUCAGUUCGGCAUCAAUAUGUUGAUCUCCCAUGAGUUGGGGACCACCAGGUUCCCUGAGGAGGGGUGAACUGACCCAGGUGGGAAAUGGAGCAGGUCAAAACUGUGCUGAUCAGUAGUGAGGUUGCACCUGUGAAUAGCCACUGUACUUUAGUUUGGGCAACACAGCGAGACCCUAUCUCUA